RNAcentral lists this ribosomal RNA (485 nucleotides) under uncultured bacterium. RNAcentral describes it as "partial 16S ribosomal RNA". It matches the Rfam family "Bacterial small subunit ribosomal RNA", at positions 899 to 1397 of the family's 1533-position model. The record is from RNAcentral.
ACUCAAAUGAAUAGACGGGGGCCCGCACAAGCGGCGGAGCGUGCGGUUUAAUUCGACGCAACGCGCAGAACCUUACCAGGGCUUGACAUGCUCCUGCGAGACCGGGAAACCGGGAAGCCUUCGAGGGAGGAGCACAGGUGCUGCAUGGCUGUCGUCAGCUCGUGUCGUGAGAUGUUGGGUUAAGUCCCGCAACGAGCGCAACCCCCGUGAGUAGUUGCCGAUGUUUCUACUCAGACUGCCGCGAGCAACGCGGAGGAAGGUGGGGAUGAUGUCAAGUCAGCAUGGCCCUUACGUCCUGGGCAACACGCACGCUACAAUGGAUGGGACAGCGGGUAGCCAAGCCGCAAGGCGGAGCGAAUCCCCCAAACCCAUUCUCAGUUGGAAUUGUGGGCUGCAACUCGCCCGCAUGAACGUGGAGUCGCUAGUAACCGCAGGUCAGCACUACUGCGGUGAAUACGUUCCCGGGCCUUGUACACACCGCCCGU